UACAGAGGGUGCGAGCGUUAAUCGGAAUUACUGGGCGUAAAGCGCACGUAGGUGGCGACGUAAGUCGGGUGUGAAAGCCCCGGGCUCAACCUGGGAAUUGCAUUCGAGACUGCAUUGCUGGAGUACGGAAGAGGAGGGCGGAAUUCCCGGUGUAGUGGUGAAAUGCGUAGAUAUCGGGAGGAACACCAGUGGCGAAGGCGACUACCUGGCCUGUUCUUGACGCUGAGGCGCGAAAGCUAGGGGAGCAAACGGG
Molecule: ribosomal RNA, 253 nt
Filed under: uncultured bacterium
Lineage: Bacteria
Description: partial 16S ribosomal RNA
Rfam family: Bacterial small subunit ribosomal RNA
Source: RNAcentral